This 495-nucleotide ribosomal RNA is filed under the name uncultured bacterium. RNAcentral's name for it is "partial 16S ribosomal RNA". It matches the Rfam family "Bacterial small subunit ribosomal RNA", at positions 28 to 507 of the family's 1533-position model. The record is from RNAcentral.
GAUGAACGCUGGCGGCGUGCCUAAUACAUGCAAGUAGAACGCUGAAGGAGGAGCUUGCUCUUCUGGCUGAGUUGCGAACGGGUGAGUAACGCGUAGGUAACCUGCCUGGUAGCGGGGGAUAACUAUUGGUAACGAUAGCUAAUACCACAUGACAACAGUUAUUGCAUGAUAACUGUUUAAAAGGGGCAACUGCUCCACUACCAGAUGGACCUGCGUUGUAUUAGCUAGUUGGUGAGGUAACGGCUCACCAAGGCGACGAUACAUAGCCGACCUGAGGGGGGGAGCGGCCACACUGGGACUGAGACACGGCCCAGACUCCUACGGGAGGCAGCAGUAGGGAAUCUUCGGCAAUGGACGGAAGACUGACCGAGCAACGCCGCGUGAGUGAAGAAGGUUUUCGGAUCGUAAAGCUCUGUUGUAAGAGAAGAACGAGGGUGAGAGUGGAAAGUUCACACUGUGACGGUAUCUUACCAGAAAGGGACGGCUAACUACGUG